Molecule: ribosomal RNA, 192 nt
Filed under: Salmonella enterica
Lineage: Bacteria; Pseudomonadati; Pseudomonadota; Gammaproteobacteria; Enterobacterales; Enterobacteriaceae
Also listed under: 1 other name
Description: partial 23S ribosomal RNA
Rfam family: Bacterial large subunit ribosomal RNA
Source: RNAcentral
GGUUAAGCGACUAAGCGUACACGGUGGAUGCCCUGGCAGUCAGAGGCGAUGAAGGGCGUGCUAAUCUGCGAUAAGCGCCGGUAAGGUGAUAUGAACCGUUAUAACCGGCGAUACCCGAAUGGGGAAACCCAGUGUGACUCGUCACACUAUCAUUAACUGAAUCCAUAGGUUAAUGAGGCGAACCGGGGGAAC